GGCGUCCUACGGGGGGCAGCAGUAGGGAAUCUUCCACAAUGGACGAAAGUCUGAUGGAGCAACGCCGCGUGAGUGAAGAAGGGUUUCGGCUCGUAAAGCUCUGUUGGUAGUGAAAAAAGAUAGAGGGAGUCACUGGGCUUUUUUUGACGGUAAUUACUUAGAAAGUCACGGCUAACUACGUGCCAGCAGCCGCGGUAAUACGUAGGUGGCAAGCGUUGUUCGGGUUUAUUGGGCGUAAAGCGGGUG
Molecule: ribosomal RNA, 246 nt
Filed under: uncultured bacterium
Lineage: Bacteria
Description: partial 16S ribosomal RNA
Rfam family: Bacterial small subunit ribosomal RNA
Source: RNAcentral